UUUAAAUUUAGAGUUUGAUCCUGGCUCAGGACGAACGCUGGCGGCGUGCUUAACACAUGCAAGUCGAGCGAUGAAGUUUCCUUCGGGAAGCGGAUUAGCGGCGGACGGGUGAGUAACACGUGGGUAACCUGCCUCAAAGUGGGGGAUAGCCUUCCGAAAGGAAGAUUAAUACCGCAUAAUAUGAGAGAAUCGCAUGAUUUUCUUAUCAAAGAUUUAUUGCUUUGAGAUGGACCCGCGGCGCAUUAGCUAGUUGGUAAGGUAACGGCUUACCAAGGCAACGAUGCGUAGCCGACCUGAGAGGGUGAUCGGCCACAUUGGAACUGA
Molecule: ribosomal RNA, 324 nt
Filed under: Clostridium botulinum
Lineage: Bacteria; Bacillati; Bacillota; Clostridia; Eubacteriales; Clostridiaceae
Description: bacterial SSU rRNA
Rfam family: Bacterial small subunit ribosomal RNA
Source: RNAcentral